GGCAGAAAGCAUCGUGCUCCUUGUUGUGAACUUCAAGGCACGUCGCGCUUUGGGAGGUGCAAGACCUGGCGCCUCAAACGGGGACCGGUCAAACCUGCAGACACACGUCCCUUGUGGCGACCUGCACAUUCAGGCAUGACCUCACGGGGGUAAGACGACCCGCUAGACUUAAGCAUAUUAAUCAGCGGAGGAAAAGAAACUAACAAGGAUUCCCCUAGUAACUGCGAGUGAAGAGGGAAGAGCUCAACGUGUGAAUCUGAUGGGGAUUAAAACCUCGUUCGAGUUGUGCACUAUUGAGUCUGGAUCAGCGUACGGAAGCUUUCGGCGGAUGUCCAAUGAAACAUGGCACCACAGUGGGUCACAGUCCUGUACACGCCUAUAGAGCAUCUACGCCUAUGACCACCGCUCAUCGAGUCGCGUAGUUUUGUAUUGCUGCGCUAAUUGGGAGGUAGAGCCCUUCUAAAGCUAAAUAUUAUGGCAUGACCGAUAGCAAACAAGUACCGUGAGGGAAAGGUGAAAAGCAACCAUGCAGAAUGGGUUGAAACAGUAGUGAAAGUGCUACCGGGAUAAGGGCUAUUGAUUGCAAGUGCGGAUCGCAUGUGCUUUAGUGCUAUGCUUACUGCCGGCGUGCAUCGAUUAAGGACCGGGGAGAACAGGGCUUUGGAGAUUCGGCUCGGCCUCGAGUGUUGCAAUCCAGAUGCCAGCUGAGCCCCCCUGAU
RNAcentral lists this ribosomal RNA (719 nucleotides) under uncultured Tulasnellaceae. RNAcentral describes it as "eukaryotic LSU rRNA". The stretch from base 137 to 719 matches the Rfam family "Eukaryotic large subunit ribosomal RNA", at positions 1 to 517 of the family's 3401-position model. Lineage: Eukaryota; Fungi; Basidiomycota; Agaricomycetes; Cantharellales; Tulasnellaceae. The record is from RNAcentral.